CCCUUAGACGUUCUGGGCCGCACGCGCGCUACACUGACGGAGCCAGCGAGUAUAAACCUUGGCCGAGAGGUCUGGGAAAUCUUGUGAAACCCCGUCGUGCUGGGGAUAGAGCAUUGUAAUUAUUGCUCUUCAACGAGGAAUUCCUAGUAAGCGCAAGUCAUCAGCUUGCGUUGAUUACGUCCCUGCCCUUUGUACACACCGCCCGUCGCUACUACCGAUUGAAUGGCUUAGUGAGGCUUCCGGAUUGGUUUAGAGAAGGGGGCAACUCCAUCUUGGAACCGAGAAGCUAGUCAAACUUGGUCAUUUAGAGGAAGUAAAAGUCGUAACA
RNAcentral lists this ribosomal RNA (328 nucleotides) under uncultured eukaryote. Its description in RNAcentral is "partial 18S ribosomal RNA". It matches the Rfam family "Eukaryotic small subunit ribosomal RNA", at positions 1470 to 1796 of the family's 1831-position model. The record is from RNAcentral.